UACGUAGGUGGCGAGCGUUGACCGGAUUUACUGGGCGUAAAGGGAGCGUAGGCGGACUUUUAAGUGAGAUGUGAAAUACUCGGGCUCAACUUGAGUGCUGCAUUUCAAACUGGAAGUCUAGAGUGCAGGAGAGGAGAAUGGAAUUCCUAGUGUAGCGGUGAAAUGCGUAGAGAUUAGGAAGAACACCAGUGGCGAAGGCGAUUCUCUGGACUGUAACUGACGCUGAGGCUCGAAAGCGUGGGGAGCAAAUAGG
RNAcentral lists this ribosomal RNA (253 nucleotides) under uncultured bacterium. RNAcentral's name for it is "partial 16S ribosomal RNA". It matches the Rfam family "Bacterial small subunit ribosomal RNA", at positions 524 to 776 of the family's 1533-position model. The record is from RNAcentral.